This 1201-nucleotide ribosomal RNA is filed under the name bacterium K87. RNAcentral describes it as "bacterial SSU rRNA". It matches the Rfam family "Bacterial small subunit ribosomal RNA", at positions 77 to 1272 of the family's 1533-position model. The record is from RNAcentral.
UGCUUGCACCUGAUUCCUAGCGGCGGACGGGUGAGUAAUGCUUAGGAAUCUGCCUAUUAGUGGGGGACAACGUUCCGAAAGGGACGCUAAUACCGCAUACAUCCUACGGGAGAAAGCAGGGGAUCUUCGGACCUUGCGCUAAUAGAUGAGCCUAAGUCGGAUUAGCUAGUUGGUGGGGUAAAGGCCUACCAAGGCGACGAUCUGUAGCGGGUCUGAGAGGAUGAUCCGCCACACUGGGACAUGAGACACGGCCCAGACUCCUACGGGAGGCAGCAGUGGGGAAUAUUGGACAAUGGGGGGAACCCUGAUCCAGCCAUGCCGCGUGUGUGAAGAAGGCCUUUUGGUUGUAAAGCACUUUAAGCGAGGAGGAGGCUUACCUGGUUAAUACCUGGGAUAAGUGGACGUUACUCGCAGAAUAAGCACCGGCUAACUCUGUGCCAGCAGCCGCGGUAAUACAGAGGGUGCAAGCGUUAAUCGGAUUUACUGGGCGUAAAGCGCGCGUAGGUGGCUAAUUAAGUCAAAUGUGAAAUCCCCGAGCUUAACUUGGGAAUUGCAUUCGAUACUGGUUAGCUAGAGUAUGGGAGAGGAUGGUAGAAUUCCAGGUGUAGCGGUGAAAUGCGUAGAGAUCUGGAGGAAUACCGAUGGCGAAGGCAGCCAUCUGGCCUAAUACUGACACUGAGGUGCGAAAGCAUGGGGAGCAAACAGGAUUAGAUACCCUGGUAGUCCAUGCCGUAAACGAUGUCUACUAGCCGUUGGGGCCCUUGAGGCUUUAGUGGCGCAGCUAACGCGAUAAGUAGACCGCCUGGGGAGUACGGUCGCAAGACUAAAACUCAAAUGAAUUGACGGGGGCCCGCACAAGCGGUGGAGCAUGUGGUUUAAUUCGAUGCAACGCGAAGAACCUUACCUGGCCUUGACAUACAGAGAACUUUCCAGAGAUGGAUUGGUGCCUUCGGGAACUCUGAUACAGGUGCUGCAUGGCUGUCGUCAGCUCGUGUCGUGAGAUGUUGGGUUAAGUCCCGCAACGAGCGCAACCCUUUUCCUUAUUUGCCAGCACUUCGGGUGGGAACUUUAAGGAUACUGCCAGUGACAAACUGGAGGAAGGCGGGGACGACGUCAAGUCAUCAUGGCCCUUACGGCCAGGGCUACACACGUGCUACAAUGGUCGGUACAAAGGGUUGCUACUGCGCGAGCAGAUGCUAAU